Molecule: transfer RNA, 68 nt
Filed under: Scaphidium formosanum
Lineage: Eukaryota; Metazoa; Arthropoda; Insecta; Coleoptera; Staphylinidae
Description: tRNA-Asp
Source: RNAcentral
AAGAAAUUAGUUAAUCUAUAACAUUAGAUUGUCAGACUAAAAUAAUUUUUUAUAAAAAAUAUUUCUUA